RNAcentral lists this unclassified non-coding RNA (331 nucleotides) under soil metagenome. Its description in RNAcentral is "partial contains 5.8S ribosomal RNA, internal transcribed spacer 2, and large subunit ribosomal RNA". The stretch from base 1 to 120 matches the Rfam family "5.8S ribosomal RNA", at positions 35 to 154 of the family's 154-position model. The record is from RNAcentral.
GAUGAAGAACGUAGCGAAAUGCGAUAAGUAAUGUGAAUUGCAGAAUUCAGUGAAUCAUCGAAUCUUUGAACGCACAUUGUGCCCCCUGGUAUUCCGGGGGGCAUGCCUGUUCGAGCGUCAUUUCACCACUCAAGCCUCGCUUGGUAUUGGGCAACGCGGUCCGCCGCGUGCCUCAAAUCGACCGGCUGGGUCUUCUGUCCCCUAAGCGUUGUGGAAACUAUUCGCUAAAGGGUGCUCGGGAGGCUACGCCGUAAAACAAACCCAUUUCUAAGGUUGACCUCGGAUCAGGUAGGGAUACCCGCUGAACUUAAGCAUAUCAAUAAGCGGAGGA